AGGUUAGCUGAAGUUGCGGGCGCAGAAGAUGGACCUCAAUAUGAAUGAUUCAGAUGCUACCUUUGACUCUGCAACAGCCAAGAAAAAAAUGGUGUGACAGCCACAGAAUGCAGGGUCUACUCCUCUCCUUGUGUCCUCCGACGAUAACUCUAAAGUCUCUAAGGAUUUGGAUACUUCACUGUGGGAAAUUCUGGAUCAG
Molecule: long non-coding RNA, 199 nt
Organism: Gavia stellata (red-throated loon)
Lineage: Eukaryota; Metazoa; Chordata; Aves; Gaviiformes; Gaviidae
Exons: 3
Source: RefSeq, a predicted model, not a curated record